UACGUAGGGUGCAAGCGUUGUCCGGAAUUAUUGGGCGUAAAGAGCUCGUAGGCGGCCUGUCACGUCGGCUGUGAAAACCCGGGGCUCAACCCCGGGCCUGCAGUCGAUACGGGCAGACUAGAGUGUGGUAGGGGAGACUGGAAUUCCUGGUGUAGCGGUGAAAUGCGCAGAUAUCAGGAGGAACACCGGUGGCGAAGGCGGGUCUCUGGGCCAUAACUGACGCUGAGGAGCGAAAGCGUGGGGAGCGAACAGG
RNAcentral lists this ribosomal RNA (253 nucleotides) under uncultured bacterium. RNAcentral describes it as "partial 16S ribosomal RNA". It matches the Rfam family "Bacterial small subunit ribosomal RNA", at positions 524 to 776 of the family's 1533-position model. The record is from RNAcentral.